GGGUGCGUGGGAGAGUAGCUAUUCCAUCAGACUGUAAAUCUGACGCCUUCGGGCUUCGCAGGUGCAAGUCCUGCCGCACCCACAA
Molecule: transfer RNA, 85 nt
Filed under: Candidatus Nealsonbacteria bacterium CG_4_10_14_0_2_um_filter_37_10
Lineage: Bacteria; Candidatus Nealsoniibacteriota
Also listed under: 1 other name
Description: tRNA-Tyr
Rfam family: tRNA
About the family: Transfer RNA (tRNA) molecules are approximately 80 nucleotides in length. Their secondary structure includes four short double-helical elements and three loops (D, anti-codon, and T loops). Further hydrogen bonds mediate the characteristic L-shaped molecular structure. tRNAs have two regions of fundamental functional importance: the anti-codon, which is responsible for specific mRNA codon recognition, and the 3' end, to which the tRNAs corresponding amino acid is attached (by aminoacyl-tRNA synthetases). tRNAs cope with the degeneracy of the genetic code in two manners: having more than one tRNA (with a specific anti-codon) for a particular amino acid; and 'wobble' base-pairing, i.e. permitting non-standard base-pairing at the 3rd anti-codon position.
Source: RNAcentral